UACGGAAGGCAGCAGUGGGGAAUAUUGCACAAUGGGCGCAAGCCUGAUGCAGCCAUGCCGCGUGUAUGAAGAAGGCCUUCGGGUUGUAAAGUACUUUCAGUCGUGAGGAAGGUGUUAAGGUUAAUAACCUUAGCAAUUGACGUUAGCGACAGAAGAAGCACCGGCUAACUCCGUGCCAGCAGCCGCGGUAAUACGGAGGGUGCGAGCGUUAAUCGGAAUUACUGGGCUAAAGGGCACGCAGGCGGUUAAUUAAGUUGGAUGUGAAAUCCCCGGGCUUAACCUGGGAAUGGCAUUCAAGACUGGUUAGCUAGAGUCUUGUAGAGGGGGUAGAAUUCCAUGUGUAGCGGUGAAAUGCGUAGAGAUGUGGAGGAAUACCGGUGGCGAAGGCGGCCCCUGGGACAAAGACUGACGCUCAUGUGCGAAAGCGUGGGGAGCGAAACAGGAUUAGAUACC
RNAcentral lists this ribosomal RNA (453 nucleotides) under uncultured bacterium. Its description in RNAcentral is "bacterial SSU rRNA". It matches the Rfam family "Bacterial small subunit ribosomal RNA", at positions 340 to 786 of the family's 1533-position model. The record is from RNAcentral.